GGGUUGUGAGGUUAAGCGACUAAGCGUACACGGUGGAUGCCCUGGCAGUCAGAGGCGAUGAAGGACGUGCUAAUCUGCGAUAAGCGUCGGUAAGGUGAUAUGAACCGUUAUAACCGGCGAUUUCCGAAUGGGGAAACCCAGUGUGUUUCGACACACUAUCAUUAACUGAAUCCAUAGGUUAAUGAGGCGAACCGGGGGAACUGAAACAUCUAAGUACCCCGAGGAAAAGAAAUCAACCGAGAUUCCCCCAGUAGCGGCGAGCGAACGGGGAGCAGCCCAGAGCCUGAAUCAGUGUGUGUGUUAGUGGAAGCGUCUGGAAAGGCGCGCGAUACAGGGUGACAGCCCCGUACACAAAAAUGCACAUACUGUGAGCUCGAUGAGUAGGGCGGGACACGUGGUAUCCUGUCUGAAUAUGGGGGACCAUCCUCCAAGGCUAAAUACUCCUGACUGACCGAUAGUGAACCAGUACCGUGAGGGAAAGGCGAAAAGAACCCCGGCGAGGGGAGUGAAAAAGAACCUGAAACCGUGUACGUACAAGCAGUGGGAGCACGCUUCGGCGUGUGACUGCGUACCUUUUGUAUAAUGGGUCAGCGACUUAUAUUCUGUAGCAAGGUUAACCGAAUAGGGGAGCCGAAGGGAAACCGAGUCUUAACUGGGCGUUAAGUUGCAGGGUAUAGACCCGAAACCCGGUGAUCUAGCCAUGGGCAGGUUGAAGGUUGGGUAACACUAACUGGAGGACCGAACCGACUAAUGUUGAAAAAUUAGCGGAUGACUUGUGGCUGGGGGUGAAAGGCCAAUCAAACCGGGAGAUAGCUGGUUCUCCCCGAAAGCUAUUUAGGUAGCGCCUCGUGAAUUCAUCUCCGGGGGUAGAGCACUGUUUCGGCAAGGGGGUCAUCCCGACUUACCAACCCGAUGCAAACUGCGAAUACCGGAGAAUGUUAUCACGGGAGACACACGGCGGGUGCUAACGUCCGUCGUGAAGAGGGAAACAACCCAGACCGCCAGCUAAGGUCCCAAAGUCAUGGUUAAGUGGGAAACGAUGUGGGAAGGCCCAGACAGCCAGGAUGUUGGCUUAGAAGCAGCCAUCAUUUAAAGAAAGCGUAAUAGCUCACUGGUCGAGUCGGCCUGCGCGGAAGAUGUAACGGGGCUAAACCAUGCACCGAAGCUGCGGCAGCGACACUAUGUGUUGUUGGGUAGGGGAGCGUUCUGUAAGCCUGUGAAGGUGUGCUGUGAGGCAUGCUGGAGGUAUCAGAAGUGCGAAUGCUGACAUAAGUAACGAUAAAGCGGGUGAAAAGCCCGCUCGCCGGAAGACCAAGGGUUCCUGUCCAACGUUAAUCGGGGCAGGGUGAGUCGACCCCUAAGGCGAGGCCGAAAGGCGUAGUCGAUGGGAAACAGGUUAAUAUUCCUGUACUUGGUGUUACUGCGAAGGGGGGACGGAGAAGGCUAUGUUGGCCGGGCGACGGUUGUCCCGGUUUAAGCGUGUAGGCUGGUUUUCCAGGCAAAUCCGGAAAAUCAAGGCUGAGGCGUGAUGACGAGGCACUACGGUGCUGAAGCAACAAAUGCCCUGCUUCCAGGAAAAGCCUCUAAGCAUCAGGUAACAUUAAAUCGUACCCCAAACCGACACAGGUGGUCAGGUAGAGAAUACCAAGGCGCUUGAGAGAACUCGGGUGAAGGAACUAGGCAAAAUGGUGCCGUAACUUCGGGAGAAGGCACGCUGAUAUGUAGGUGAAGUCCCUCGCGGAUGGAGCUGAAAUCAGUCGAAGAUACCAGCUGGCUGCAACUGUUUAUUAAAAACACAGCACUGUGCAAACACGAAAGUGGACGUAUACGGUGUGACGCCUGCCCGGUGCCGGAAGGUUAAUUGAUGGGGUUAGCGGUAACGCGAAGCUCUUGAUCGAAGCCCCGGUAAACGGCGGCCGUAACUAUAACGGUCCUAAGGUAGCGAAAUUCCUUGUCGGGUAAGUUCCGACCUGCACGAAUGGCGUAAUGAUGGCCAGGCUGUCUCCACCCGAGACUCAGUGAAAUUGAACUCGCUGUGAAGAUGCAGUGUACCCGCGGCAAGACGGAAAGACCCCGUGAACCUUUACUAUAGCUUGACACUGAACAUUGAGCCUUGAUGUGUAGGAUAGGUGGGAGGCUUUGAAGUGUGGACGCCAGUCUGCAUGGAGCCGACCUUGAAAUACCACCCUUUAAUGUUUGAUGUUCUAACGUUGACCCGUAAUCCGGGUUGCGGACAGUGUCUGGUGGGUAGUUUGACUGGGGCGGUCUCCUCCUAAAGAGUAACGGAGGAGCACGAAGGUUGGCUAAUCCUGGUCGGACAUCAGGAGGUUAGUGCAAUGGCAUAAGCCAGCUUGACUGCGAGCGUGACGGCGCGAGCAGGUGCGAAAGCAGGUCAUAGUGAUCCGGUGGUUCUGAAUGGAAGGGCCAUCGCUCAACGGAUAAAAGGUACUCCGGGGAUAACAGGCUGAUACCGCCCAAGAGUUCAUAUCGACGGCGGUGUUUGGCACCUCGAUGUCGGCUCAUCACAUCCUGGGGCUGAAGUAGGUCCCAAGGGUAUGGCUGUUCGCCAUUUAAAGUGGUACGCGAGCUGGGUUUAGAACGUCGUGAGACAGUUCGGUCCCUAUCUGCCGUGGGCGCUGGAGAACUGAGGGGGGCUGCUCCUAGUACGAGAGGACCGGAGUGGACGCAUCACUGGUGUUCGGGUUGUCAUGCCAAUGGCACUGCCCGGUAGCUAAAUGCGGAAGAGAUAAGUGCUGAAAGCAUCUAAGCACGAAACUUGCCCCGAGAUGAGUUCUCCCUGACUCCUUGAGAGUCCUGAAGGAACGUUGAAGACGACGACGUUGAUAGGCCGGGUGUGUAAGCGCAGCGAUGCGUUGAGCUAACCGGUACUAAUGAACCGUGAGGCUUAACCUUACAACGCCGAAGGUGUUU
RNAcentral lists this ribosomal RNA (2931 nucleotides) under Escherichia coli O145. RNAcentral's name for it is "23S ribosomal RNA". It matches the Rfam family "Bacterial large subunit ribosomal RNA". The record is from RNAcentral. Lineage: Bacteria; Pseudomonadati; Pseudomonadota; Gammaproteobacteria; Enterobacterales; Enterobacteriaceae.